AGGACGAACGCUGGCGGCGUGCUUAACACAUGCAAGUCGAACGAUGAUGCCCAGCUUGCUGGGUUGAUUAGUGGCGAACGGGUGAGUAACACGUGAGUAACCUGCCCCUGACUUCGGGAUAACGCUGGGAAACUGGUGCUAAUACCGGAUAUGACGCAUCCUCGCAUGGGGGUGUGUGGAAAGACUGUGUCGGUUGGGGAUGGGCUCGCGGCCUAUCAGCUUGUUGGUGGGGUGAUGGCCUACCAAGGCGUCGACGGGUAGCCGGCCUGAGAGGGUGACCGGCCACACUGGGACUGAGAUACGGCCCAGACUCCUACGGGAGGCAGCAGUGGGGAAUAUUGCACAAUGGGCGCAAGCCUGAUGCAGCGACGCCGCGUGAGGGAUGACGGCCUGGUGUAACUCUUACUAGUAGGAGAAGACGUUCGGUCGUACGGUACGUGUCAGAAGAAGACGCGGCGAACUACGUAGACAGCGAG
This 476-nucleotide ribosomal RNA is filed under the name uncultured soil bacterium. Its description in RNAcentral is "bacterial SSU rRNA". It matches the Rfam family "Bacterial small subunit ribosomal RNA", at positions 26 to 514 of the family's 1533-position model. The record is from RNAcentral.